CCUACGGGAGGCAGCAGUGAGGAAUAUUGGUCAAUGGUCGGGAGACUGAACCAGCCAAGCCGCGUGAGGGAUGAAGGUACAGAGUAUCGUAAACCUCUUUUGUCAGGGAACAAAGGCGGGGACGUGUCCCCGGAUGAGUGUACCUGACGAAAAAGCAUCGCCCAACUCCGUGCCAGCAGCCGCGGUAAUACGGGGGAUGCGAGGGUUAUCGGGAUUUAUUGGGUUUAAAGGGUGCGCAGGCGGUCUGUUAAGUCAGCGGUAAAAGCCCGGGGCCAAACCCCGGGCCGCCGUUGAAACUGGCAGUCUCGAGUUGGAGAGAAGUAUGCGGAAUGCGCGGUGUAGCGGUGAAAUGCAUAGAUAUCGCGCAGAACUCCGAUUGCGAAGGCAGCAUGCCGGCUCCACACUGACGCUGAGGCACGAAAGCGUGGGUAGCGAACAGGAUUAGAUACCCUUGUAGUC
RNAcentral lists this ribosomal RNA (459 nucleotides) under uncultured bacterium. RNAcentral's name for it is "partial 16S ribosomal RNA". It matches the Rfam family "Bacterial small subunit ribosomal RNA", at positions 338 to 795 of the family's 1533-position model. The record is from RNAcentral.